This 403-nucleotide ribosomal RNA is filed under the name Verrucomicrobiota bacterium. RNAcentral describes it as "Verrucomicrobia bacterium partial 16S ribosomal RNA". It matches the Rfam family "Bacterial small subunit ribosomal RNA", at positions 355 to 776 of the family's 1533-position model. The record is from RNAcentral. Lineage: Bacteria; Pseudomonadati; Verrucomicrobiota.
UGGGGAAUAUUGCACAAUGGGCGCAAGCCUGAUGCAGCAACGCCGCGUGAACGAUGAAGUUCUUCGGAUCGUAAAGUUCUGUUGCAGGGGAAGAUAAUGACGGUACCCUGUGAGGAAGCCCCGGCUAACUACGUGCCAGCAGCCGCGGUAAUACGUAGGGGGCUAGCGUUAUCCGGAUUUACUGGGCGUAAAGGGUGCGUAGGUGGUCUUUCAAGUCGGUGGUUAAAGGCUACGGCUCAACCGUAGUUAGCCUCCGAAACUGGAAGACUUGAGUGCAGGAGAGGAAAGUGGAAUUCCCAGUGUAGCGGUGAAAUGCGUAGAUAUUGGGAGGAACACCAGUAGCGAAGGCGGCUUUCUGGACUGCAACCGACACUGAGGCACGAAAGCGUGGGUAGCAAACAGG